RNAcentral lists this microRNA (21 nucleotides) under Caenorhabditis elegans. Its description in RNAcentral is "cel-miR-4926". The record is from miRBase by way of RNAcentral. Lineage: Eukaryota; Metazoa; Nematoda; Chromadorea; Rhabditida; Rhabditidae.
GUAGGAGUGAAUUUUGAUUUU